GACGCCUGCCCGGUGCUGGAAGGUUAAGGGGAUCUGUUAGAGCAAUCGAAGCAGUGAACUUAAGCCCCAGUAAACGGCGGCCGUAACUAUAACGGUCCUAAGGUAGCGAAAUUCCUUGUCGGGUAAGGUCCGACCCGCACGAAAGGCGUAACGAUUUGGGCACUGUCUCAACAACAGACUCGGUGAAAUUGUAAUUCCGGUGAAGAUGCCGGAUACCUGCGACAGGACGGAAAGACCCCAUGGAGCUUUACUGUAGCUUGACAUUGGGUCUUGGUACUACAUGUACAGGAUAGGUGGGAGGCUUUGAAACCAGGACGCCAGUUUUGGCGGAGCCAUCCUUGGGAUACCACCCUUGUAGUACUGGGACUCUAACCAUAGGCCAUGAAUCUGGUCUUGGGACACUGUCAGGUGGGCAGUUUGACUGGGGCGGUCGCCUCCCAAAAGGUAACGGAGGCGCUCAAAGGUUCUCUCAGUACGGUCGGAAAUCGUACGUAGAGUGUAAAGGCAAAAGAGAGCUUGAUUGCAAGACAUACAGGUCGAGCAAGGAUGAAAAUCGGACUUAGUGAUCCGGUGGUUCUGCGUGGAAGGGCCAUCGCUCAACGGAUAAAAGCUACCCUGGGGAUAACAGGC
RNAcentral lists this ribosomal RNA (630 nucleotides) under Clostridioides difficile. Its description in RNAcentral is "bacterial LSU rRNA". It matches the Rfam family "Bacterial large subunit ribosomal RNA", at positions 1854 to 2482 of the family's 2925-position model. Lineage: Bacteria; Bacillati; Bacillota; Clostridia; Peptostreptococcales; Peptostreptococcaceae. The record is from RNAcentral.